CCUACGGGUGGCAGCAGUGGGGAAUAUUGCACAAUGGGGGAAACCCUGAUGCAGCGACGCCGCGUGAGUGAAGAAGUAUUUCGGUAUGUAAAGCUCUAUCAGCAGGGAAGAAAUAGCGACCUUUGGGUCGCCAGACGGUACCUGAUUAAGAAGCCACGGCUAACUACGGGCCAGCAGCCGCGGUAAUACGUAGGGGGCAAGCGUUAUCCGGAUUUAAUGGGUGUAAAGGGGGCGUAGACGGCAGCGCAAGUCUGAAGUGAAAUGCCGGGGCUUAACCCCGGAAUAGCUUUGGAAACUGGGCAGCUAGAGUGCAGGAGAGGUAAGUGGAAUUCCUAGUGUAGCGGUGAAAUGCGUAGAUAUUAGGAGGAACACCAGUGGCGAAGGCGGCUUACUGGACUGUAACUGACGUUGAGGCUCGAAAGCGUGGGGAGCAAACAGGAUUAGAUACCCGAGUAGUC
This 458-nucleotide ribosomal RNA is filed under the name uncultured bacterium. Its description in RNAcentral is "partial 16S ribosomal RNA". It matches the Rfam family "Bacterial small subunit ribosomal RNA", at positions 338 to 795 of the family's 1533-position model. The record is from RNAcentral.